RNAcentral lists this small RNA (1956 nucleotides) under Histoplasma capsulatum. RNAcentral describes it as "hypothetical RNA". The record is from RNAcentral. RNAcentral also lists the same sequence under 1 other name. Lineage: Eukaryota; Fungi; Ascomycota; Eurotiomycetes; Onygenales; Ajellomycetaceae.
AUUAGUAGGGCGACUUGAGUGGUUAAUUUCCAGCCCCUUCUCCCGCUGCCCCCCCAAACCGGGAUCAGAAUCAGAAUCAGAAUCAUACGCUGCCAUAAUGGCCCGAAUCUUUGCGCCUGGCGUCAAUAUGGCAGGCGAAUUGACGCCGGCAUCAUCGCUGUCAUUUCCACCGUGCGCAUCGCGGUCCGGUGUGAUUGUGGACCGCGACGGGUCGCGAGUGGGAGUUGUAUCCAUUUCCAUUCUACCAACUCCAAUUCCAACUGCUACCGUAACCUAUUAGGAGGAGAGACAACGACGUGUAAACAAAUUGCGCGACUGGGAGUAGGCUCUGGAUUGUCCGACCCGGACUGGCGAACCGGCCUCCGCUGAAACCCGGAAUUUAAGGGGAAAAGUAUGGCAUUCUAAGGCUGAAGAAAAUGUAGUGGUCAAUGGUAUGCGUAUUGACGAGUUAACUAUAUCCGGAGAACGAAAGUCCAUGCAUCCACAUAUAUCGUCGUUGAGUGGAGGAAGUUGAAAUCUUCUCGAUCGAGCAUCCAACGCGAUGACGCGCCGGAAACGCGACGGAAACACGCUAGGGCUGGGUCUUAUCUUAUCGAUAAGGAAGCUUGGCAUUCAGCCAGAGGUAGGCUCACGUGAUGUCCACUAUUCUCGAUCAAAUGGAGAAGCCUCAUUCCAGCAGACGAGCAUCAAUUAGUCUAUCUACGCAUAACGGGGGGAAACAGGGAUAGAAGGUAACGACAAUGGAGUUCCCGAGCAUAGAGGAAAAGCCUUCUUGAAGAAAAUACAAGAAAUACAAAUUCGCAAGCAGACACCGCAUUGGCCCGUGUCUUCCGAACCAUUCGCCCUUUUCCCAUUUCAUUCCUCACCCUUCCAUUUUUAUACUUAUUUUCCUUCCGGGGUAAUAUUUUCCAAUUGGAAUUCCAUUCCGCUUUUAUCAGUCUCGCAUAUGGACACUCAGAAGUCCAUCUCACGUCCCCUAGUCGCGAAACCAAGCUCAAAAGCAACACACCACAGCAAAGUUUUGAGGCGAAAAGCAUGGGUCGCGGAGGAACAAAGCAAAACAUCAUCGAGUAAAAAAAAACUGCGAAAUGGAGAUGAGGAUUACUAAACCAAAGACAUCAGGAGCGAGCCGAAAAAGGCUAUCAACAAAGCUUGCAGGGGACGAGAGUAAAGGAAGAAGCGAGCAGAAAUACAGAGUAGAUAGAAGCAUACGUAAAUUGAGGCCGAGGAAAGAGGGAAAGUGAAGGAUAGGAAAGUAAGAAAUUGAAAAGGACCAGGCGCCGUAAAAGAAAGAAGGAAGAAAAGGAAAUGAGAAUGAGAAAAAGCAGGAAAAGUGGGAAGGGGGAUUGGGGGGAGGGAAAAAGAAAGGAAGCAUAUACCGGCAAAAAUCCUAUGUAUCCGCAUGAAAACUAUAAACCCGAUCGAAGAACAAAAAAUACGACGAUGAUGAAAAAAAAAAAAGAGGAUAGGAUAAGAAAAAAAUGAAAACAACAAGUAAACCUGGAACGCCAUGUACUAACGGGCUUCUUUUGUUUAGACAUGUGUUUGUCGAUGUAAGGAAGGUAGCGUAACAGAGGUGGAAAAACAGAACUUGGCGUACGAGGGACUGUGGCUCCAGGAACCGCCGCACACAAACCAGGUGAGUAGACUACCUGGGCCAUGAUAGAGCAGCCGUUUAAAUCUCGAUAUCAAUUUCAAAAUCCAACGCUGCGAUGUUUUCAUCAUCUGUAGGCCGAUGGCGGAUAACAGGGACGCCCCCUUUGCGCGCUACUUUCGUCGAAUCACCCACACCUUUCGUACUAGAAGGAGUCACGCUCCUUCCAUUCCGUGUAGGCGUGCUUAUUUUAUUGCCAUUAGGCGUGUUUGCGCCGGUGAUGGGAGUAACAGGGCGACUCAUAUCGCUCCCUCCUCCGUCCUCUGCGCCCUUCGGCAGAAGCCGGUUCCCAUGAACGUCAU